This 94-nucleotide non-coding RNA is filed under the name human gut metagenome. RNAcentral describes it as "SAM riboswitch (S box leader)". It matches the Rfam family "SAM riboswitch aptamer (S box leader)". From Rfam's summary of the family: The SAM riboswitch is found upstream of a number of genes which code for proteins involved in methionine or cysteine biosynthesis in Gram-positive bacteria. The SAM riboswitch acts at the level of transcription termination control. RNAcentral also lists the same sequence under 1 other name. The record is from RNAcentral.
CCUUAUAGAGAGUGGCGGAGGGACAGGCCCUGUGAAGCCACGGCAACCUGCUUAUGCAAGGUGCUAAUUCCUACGGUUUAUCCGAAAGAUAAGG